This 251-nucleotide unclassified non-coding RNA is filed under the name Hevea brasiliensis (rubber tree). The record is from RNAcentral. Lineage: Eukaryota; Viridiplantae; Streptophyta; Magnoliopsida; Malpighiales; Euphorbiaceae.
UGGAUUCCUAGACGUGAAGAGGUCAAAGCUAAAACCAUCACUGAGAUACAUUCCGAGGCUGAGAAGAAUUUGGGAUUGCGUCCGGGUGCUACCUCAAGUAUUAGAAAUAAUCGCGGUGUUAUUUCUGCAACUCCUGGGACUGCUGGCCCAGGCUUUCCCAUUAACCGACCUGGCACAGGAGGUAUGAUGCCUGGCAUGCCAGGAACUAGGAGGAUGCCUGGCAUGCCUGGAAUUGAUAAUGAUAAUUGGGA